ACGAAGGGGGCUAGCGUUGUUCGGAAUUACUGGGCGUAAAGCGCACGUAGGCGGAUUGGUCAGUUAGGGGUGGAAUCCCGGGGCUCAACCCCGGAACUGCCUUUAAUACUGCCAAUCUAGAGUCCGAGAGAGGUGAGUGGAAUUCCGAGUGUAGAGGUGAAAUUCGUAGAUACUCGGAGGAACACCAGUGGCGAAGGCGGCUCACUGGCUCGGUACCGACGCUGAGGUGCGAAAGCGUGGGGAGCAAACAGGA
RNAcentral lists this ribosomal RNA (253 nucleotides) under uncultured prokaryote. Its description in RNAcentral is "partial 16S ribosomal RNA". It matches the Rfam family "Bacterial small subunit ribosomal RNA", at positions 525 to 777 of the family's 1533-position model. The record is from RNAcentral.